GGGGGGGCGAAAAAGCCGUUUUUGCAACAAGCUCUUUCAAACUAAUUGUAUAUCCUGAGCUUAUCUUUAAUUUUCUUUAAUGUGUUUGAUUUACAGAUGAGCACCAUGAAAGUUAUGAGGAAGAUAAUCAUAGUUCUUACCCCUUAAUUGAAAAAGUUGACCUACCUUCUGCUAGGCUUCUCAGCUCCCCACCUUUAGUUAAAUCAACCCAGAAUUUAAGAAGCCACAUGAAUAGCAAUUUUUAUGAAGCCUCUAGUCUUAAUGAUUUCUAUCACUCUUCAUGGCACAGUCCAACUCCAAAGAGUUUAAGUCAAAGCAAUGUGUAUUCUUCCUCUGUAUCAAAUUCAAUUGGUAGUACAAAACAUGUUUCUCAACCUCACUCCAUGAAUCAUGCUUAUGAAGUUGGUCUUUCUCCAGUAAAAUGUAAGCUAAUUGUUUCGUCAGACCUAUUCCAAAGUUAUUUUUCACAAAGCUUUUAAUUCAGAUGGAUCUACAGUAGCAACAAGAAUGAUUUGACAGGUGAUAAAUCUACGGAUAACUUAUAGUGGAGUCGUUUAGGGUCAGGGUAUUUCGUUUCAGGUUACCAGUGUAAAACUUGGUGAAAAUGGUUUUUAAGGUACCUAAAACGAGCAGUCGAGAGACGAGCCGCAUCUAUCAUGAUUCUCUGUAUUUUGGCCGUCAUUUUCCAAGAUGGGCGCCCAAAGCUGAUUUUCACAUUUUCUCAUUAUUCAGGGGUUGUAAUUUACCUAUCGACAUGAUAUUUAGUAGCAAUAUGCAUGCAUGUAACUAGAACGAGGAAACACUGAGAUUUAAGUCCAGUCGGCCAUUUUUUUGCAGCGAUCGGUAGCCAUUUUGGAAAUUAGUGUCUCACAAUAAGCCUUGCGGGAAUAUAGAGUGUAGAAUUCAAAAUGUAGAAUAGUACGAAGUUAAGGCGCAUGGUCCAACUUCGGGGUGCAGACGGCAGGGUUCCUGCCAGUUGCCUUGGCCCCUUGAGGGCGCCUCGCCUGUCAACCUGGCCCUUGCUUACUUACUUACUUACGUACUUACGCGGGAAUACAACUCUGCGUAUUCCCGCCAAAUUUUAAGUGUCUAGCUGCAAAAAAACCCUGGAAAUCAAAGAGACAAAGGAGAAACUAGUCUGAGACGUCAUCUUGGAAAAUGGCGGCCAACCGGAGGAGGAACUAUGAUAAAUAUGGCUUGUUUCUCGACUAAUCUUCGUUCUAGUUACCCUAAAUAACAUUUCCACCAAGUUUCAUGCUGGUAACCUCAAUUGGAAUAUCAGUGGGGGGGGGGGGGGAGUUGACCCUAUGAGACCCCACUAUGAAGGACUUACUGAAAGACAAGGCUCUGCUUGCACCUUGUUUUGAGAAAACUGCAUAUAGAAUGUUGUGACAUCCGUAACAAUACCGAGUUACUCAACCUAAACUUAACUUAAACUUACUGAAAGAAGUAGUAUUUAUAAAACACAUAACUAUAAUUAGAAAACAGCAGAAACAGGGAUAGUAAUCAA
RNAcentral lists this long non-coding RNA (1510 nucleotides) under Bemisia tabaci. Its description in RNAcentral is "lncRNA ENSSSA1NGG007023". The record is from RNAcentral. Lineage: Eukaryota; Metazoa; Arthropoda; Insecta; Hemiptera; Aleyrodidae.